RNAcentral lists this ribosomal RNA (483 nucleotides) under uncultured bacterium. RNAcentral's name for it is "partial 16S ribosomal RNA". It matches the Rfam family "Bacterial small subunit ribosomal RNA", at positions 28 to 507 of the family's 1533-position model. The record is from RNAcentral.
GACGAACGCUGGCGGCGUGCUUAACACAUGCGAGUCGAACGAUGAAGCGGGUGCUUGCCCUCGUGGAUUAGUGGCGAACGGGCGAGUAACACGUGAGUAACCUGUCCUUUUCUUUGGGAUAACGGCUGGAAACGGCUGCUAAUACUGGAUAUUCAGGCUGCAUCGCAUGGUGUGGUUUGGAAAGGUUUUUUCUGGGAUUGGGUGGGCUCGCGGCCUAUCAGCUUGUUGGUGGGGUGAUGGCUUACCAAGGCUUUGACGGGUAGCCGGCCUGAGAGGGUGGUCGGUCGCACUGGGACUGAGAUACGGCCCAGACUCCUACGGGAGGCAGCAGUGGGGAAUAUUGCACAAUGGACGAAAGUUUGAUGCAGCGACGCCGCGUGGAGGGUGUAGGCCUUCGGGUUGUGAACUCCUCUGUCUCGCGAAAAAGGCACAGUUUUGGCUGUGUUGAUGGUAGUGGGGGAAGAAGCGCCGGCUAACUACGUG